Panicum virgatum (switchgrass) is the source of this 3741-nucleotide long non-coding RNA. RefSeq lists it as uncharacterized. The record is from RefSeq and is a predicted model, not a curated record. Lineage: Eukaryota; Viridiplantae; Streptophyta; Magnoliopsida; Poales; Poaceae. The transcript has 2 exons.
GCGCGCGCGCUAACUAGAAUAUCCCCCAAGGCCCCGCAACCCUAAUCCCUUCGCUCCCCAUGGCAGACUCCGAUGAUGCCGCGCCACCAAUGCUGUCGCUGGAGGUGGUGGCCACCAACUCCGCCGCGUAGGAGGGGGCCGCCGCGAGGGUGGCGAGGAGGAUGCCGGGUGCUCGACGAUGUCGCGAAGCGAGAUCUAGGCGGACUUGGGGAGGCCGCGGAUGAGGUCGAGCAUCUCACAGCGGUACCCCGGGAUGGCCUGCGCCUGCGACGGCGAGCUCCCCCCGGAGGCCGGGUACGGCCGUCCCGCCACCCUCCUCCCUCAUCCGGUCCUCCCUCACCGAACCCGUGCCCAGGCGCCCACAGAUCCGCGCCCAGCCGCCCAGCAGCAAGAGCCCAGGCCGUGGUCGCCGCCGCCUUGCUUCGAAUCGCGGCGGCGGGGCACCCUGCCCAUCCUUAUCAGCUGACUCCGCCAGAUCAAGGGAGUCAGAGAGGGGGGAGGGAGCAACCAUGGAGUUGUCUAGUUCAAUCGCGUCCAUGACGGCGCAGACGCAGGCUCGGCUGCUCUGGCUACCGUAGAGUUGCCGGCCUGGCCCUGGCCGAGCGGGUAAGAGAUCCAUCGAUCCCAGCCUCCCAUCUCCCUCGCUCGAAUCCCCCGAUUAGCAGGUCUGUAGGGUGUUUCGCAAUCUACCUUCGCUUUGACUUCAUCAAAGAAGUUGCAAAUCCGCCAGAUCAAGGGAUUCAAAGCUUGUUUAUGCCCUUCGGAGUAUUUUGUUUCUGUUCCUUAUAGUAAUUAAAACCCGCUAAUACUACUUGGGAACUCUGGUUGAUACACAGUUUUUACUGCUACUAUUGAUGCUUUCAUACCAUCCUUAAACUAAAGAGAAAUAAACCUUGCUAGCAGUUUUCACAAGCUGUUAAGCAAGUCUCCAUUAAAGCUAAGGUUAAAAUCAUUUGUGUUCAAAUUCUAUAAGUCUUAGGUCAUCAUUAGGUCUAUACUUACAACAGUUUUUGCAUUGCAGCUUUGUGAAUUGUCAUUCCAGAAAACUCUGCAAUAUUUAUUCAAUGAUAAUCUAUGUUCAGUCCCCAGAAAAAUAGAAGUCAUUCAGUUUGGAUGAUUCCUGCAAUGUCACUGCCUUCCUGUUCAAAUAUGGUUGAUGGGCUGGGGCACACUGCAGGUAUAUGAAAUUCAUCAUGUAUCCUAUUUAAAAAUAAAUUCAACCUGCUUGAGUGUAAUGCACGGCCUAAAAAUGGUUCAUCAGUCACUGUCUUUUUUAUUCAGAACCUAUCCUUAUUAGGUUGAUAAUUACAAACUGAAUGUCUUUUUGAUUCAGAAUCGUAGUUGUUCAUUGGCCGUAAUCUAUCCAUAUUAUAUUCCAAAUUAUCAACUGUAUUUCCUUUUUAUUAAGAAUGCAUGAUCUGUUUCAGCGUGCAGAUCAAAUUAUUUGGUUGCUUGAUUUCAUAAUAGUGUCUGCUUAUGCAUUGGGUCUCAUCUGUAAUCCUUAUCAGUUAUCACCAAUCUUGAUUUAUUGGUUUCAUAAUAGUCUUUUAACCUCUCAAAAAAUCAGGACAGUCAUAUCUCCUGUGUCAGUACCAUGGUGUUUUUUUUAUCACAUUUGCGUUUGCUUCUGCUAGUUCAGUCCAAAGGUGCAUCUGCAUUUGUCUGUGCAUAUACACAGUUGAUUAUUGCUUUGCUAUUCAGUUAAAGAAAUUGAUUGUGAUCUAACAUCAGAUGAAAAGCAUUGAUUCCAAUGAGCUAUAAGCAGGAUGUAAGCUGCUAAGCUCAAUUACUAGCCUUGUAGUUGCAGAAUAAUUUGACUAGGCCUGUGCACGGAUCGUCAAAACCACCCAAUCCACCCAAUCCAGAACCACCCAAACCGUGACAAUAUUUCUUACAUGGAUUGGAUGGAUGACGGGUCAGAUCCAUCUGACCCAUGGGUCCAAACUCAAAACGAAAGUGCCCAUAUACUCUUCGUCUCUAGCUUGUUCUCUUUUCUCCUGAACUUGCUCUCGAGUGUUCCUGUCAAAUUAAAACCUAAAAUGGAUCCAACAUGCUUUGGGAGCUAGGAGCGGAGCCAACAUGGUCGAGCGUAGCUGACCGAAAGAAUCUUUGCGGACGGGGCAACGUCUGGCCUGAAGCAGCACAACAGCUCAGGCAGUACAAUUGACGGGAGGUCUCACGCCAUGGGAGCAAGGGCAGCAAGCUGCUGGCUCCUUCGAUGCUCUUCUUCUUGUAGAAUGGCUUCAUGAUUCGAUAUGCUAAGUCAGCUAGUUCUCGUUCUUUUAGAAAUAUAAUCUUAUGCAAGCUCAUGUGACUUGCUCUUACUGUAAAAUCUGAAGAAUGCUCAAAAACCAUUGAAUUUGACAUCAAACUAGACAACGAUGAGGGACAGAAGGAGGUAGAAAAUGAACUCUGCAUAGGGACGCGGGUGCCUGAGGAGCGCCCACGGAAGCCUUGGCGAUGUGGCGGUGCUGCGUGAGUAAUCAGUUCUGCUUAGAUGUGGAUCCGCGAAACCCAUAUAAUCCACCCAAUCCAGACCCAUCUAUCAGGUCCAUUCGUGGGUGGGUAGAAAAAUCUGUGAGAACUGUGUGAACCCAUCCAUGAACAGGCCUAAAUUUAACUGUCUUGUAAGCUAAAUGUCUAUUGGAUAUCAACUGACAUGCAAAAUUAAUUACUACCUCUUUCUACUGCCUGCGGCUUGCUAACACAGAGUACAUUGAUGGGCAAUUCUCUGGGAACAUGGGAGAGAUUUUGAUCAGGUAGCCUUUCUUUAUCCUUUGCUUCGAGCAUGCGCCAAGUAGUGUUGCCUAGUAAAUCUAGUAACCCAGAUGUUGUCAUCCUGCUGCUGUAAUCUGACUUGACUACUAAUCCUAAGGGUAGUGUGGAUCUGCAGAAUUUAUAUUUGGAUCUGCAGAAUUUAUAUUUCAAGGAAAGCUAGGGAUCCUUAAAAACCAUCAUUAGUUUGUGAACUUUUUAGAACUAGGAUAAGGGGUCAAUAGUUGGGAAUCUAUGAAAAAUUGGUGAAGAUGCUUCCUUCUGAUCUCAUAAUGGUUUUCAGGCUUAGAAGUGAAGAUGCAAGAGCCAUAAAAAUUGGUGAAAUGAUUGCAAGCAAGACAGGCAAGCUGGAAUGUAUGUUGGUAGUGCUAGCUGUUAUCAGGUGUUGUUUAUUGGUUCAUGUGGAUAGCAAUGCUCUAUACAUUCUUUUUUUUGAUACAUUCAGACAAGAAUAUUUUUAUUUUGAAGUACUUAUGUUCACUGCUCUGCAAAAUAAUCCAAAUCAGACUGACUUGUAUUCAAUUCCUAAGUUUUGUAGGUUGGAAUGACCAAAACAGAUGCUGCUGUACAGACGCUUUCUGAAUAAAUCCUGAUGUUGUGUUGGAGAUUUCAACAAUUAAAUAUGUGCCAAGAAUUUGAAGGAGAAGAAAUGGCACAACUGCUAUGGACGUGAAGCUACAAGAGUGAGUACAAAUUGGUGAAAUCAAGAGACACCAACAAGCUUGCAAGAAAUUGCUAGCUGUUAUUUGGCACUGUACUUUGAUUCAAAGUGUAUAGAGAUGCUCUGUAAAGCCUUCUUUUGAACGGUCAAAGUGUAUGUUAGUUUUGUAUGAUGGAAUGCAAAUGAUGGGCAAUGGACGCCUGCAUAUUUUUUUUGUUUUCUUAAUUCAACAUUGGUAACGCUUGUUGGUACAGCUGCGUCACUGAUAUCUUCUUAUUAGUAACACGUAAUUUCUAAAGCCGUCA